RNAcentral lists this long non-coding RNA (3572 nucleotides) under Brassica rapa (field mustard). Its description in RNAcentral is "long non-coding RNA (BRAP_LNC005136)". The record is from RNAcentral. Lineage: Eukaryota; Viridiplantae; Streptophyta; Magnoliopsida; Brassicales; Brassicaceae.
GGGGCACUGAUACACAUGAUAGCUCAAGCACGUCUGGUUUGACUGAUCAAACAGCAACCACAAUGAAAUCCUCUGUUUCUGGUGCUGAUCUUUACCCAUUAUACCCGGAAUCCAUGAUCUUAAACUCAGAGCCGUGCGAGCAUUAAAACCAUACGUAAGCGAGAGAAAAAAAUAUACCUUCAUUCAUCAAAAUGUCUUAUAAAGAGUUCAUUCAAAAAAAAACACUGCAUAAUAAUUCUAAAACAUAAUUUGUCUUCCUUUCUUCUCCAAGAACUCAUUGACUAAACUUUCAAAAUCAAUGUUCCUUAAGAGUUCUCUCUCUAUAGAUAAGAUAGCCAAAUCACUCAAUCUUUCUUGUGACAUAGUCGAACGAAGAUAAGAUUUUAUUAGCUUCAACUUCGAAAAGCUCCUCUCAGCAGAUGCAACCGAAACAGGGAUGGUCAACAAUAUUCGAUAAGCAAUCCAUGAGUUCGGAUAAAAAUCAUGAACACUUUGCAAAAAGUCUAGCACUUCAGUAGGCUUCUUAACUCCUUCUGGUAAAGCUUCUCUUACAAUUUUAAGUUCAGCAAAAAGAUCACUACCAACAAUAUCUGAAUGAUCACCAUGAGUUAGAGAAUCUUCAAGAUUGGCACAGGAAACCAUCAAACUAUCAUCACUUGCUGACUGCAGUUUCUUCAAAUCAAACAAAAAUCCAAAUAUUUUUUCAUACUUCUCGAAUUGUUCAAAUCUUGUUCCAAGCGAGUAGAGAGCUUGGUCCAUGAUCUGAAUGAAGUAAUCAACUCUAAAUUUCUCUUCGGGUGAUAAUGUCACACUCCCCUCUACAUUCUCUGAACUCUCGCCAUAUUGUAUUUUUCUUUUGAUUACCCGCUUUCCUUGCUUGGGGAACACAGCCUCAAUCUCCAUAGACUCUGCAAGUAUUUUUGCCUCUGAUUUUGCUUUCUCAAAACCUGAAUCUCUAUAUUUUUGAAGAUAAGAAACCAGCCCCUUAAGUUGAGCAAUAGCAACAUCAAUAUCCAUGUCUUCUGACUGCAAACUCUUACUCACAAUGUUGACAACAGAUAAAAGAUUGUACCAAAUAACCAGGGAAACCAAGAACUCAAAACUUCCAAUUCCAUGUGUUUCACUUGUUGCAAGACAUUCAGCUUCGCUCUGCUCUUGUGGAUCAACACUAUUUUCAGCAAUGUAAACUAAAGCGUUCAUGAUUUUAGGAGCUUGAAACCGUAUCGCCUUAACACUUUCAGCAUGGCUCUCCCAACGAGUAUUCGACAAAGACUUAAGUGUUAGACCAUCUACAUGAUCUUCAAAGAUUUUCCAGCGCUUAGUUGAACCUGAAAAAAAUUUAUAAGUACGCUGGAUGAUUCCAAAAAACGAGAUCCCCUUUGAAGAAGUCCUUGCCAUAUCACAUAGUGCAAGAUUCAAACUAUGACAACUACAUGGUGUAUAAAACGCUCUGGGAUUAAUCUCAAGAAAUCUUUUUUGUACUCCUUUAUGCUUUCCCUUCAUAUUAGAGCCAUUGUCAUAACCUUGUCCUCUCACAUCAUCAAUUUUCAAAUCAAAAGCAACCAAUACAUCUUGCAGCUCACGAAAAAGCCCUUCUCCAGAUGUAUCAUCAACUUUCAGAAACGUUAAAAAAAAUUCUUCAACCUUAACUGAAGCUGUGGACACAUCUACACACCGUAUGACAACAGUCAUUUGUUCAUGAUGACUGAUAUCUGGAGUGCAGUCAAGAAUAACAGAGAAAAAUUUUGCACUUUGAAUUUUCUUGAUGAUCAUACCUUUGAUCUCAUUGCCCAACAAUGCUAUUAACUCAUUCUGAAUUCUGCCACUGAGAUAAUGAGUACGAGAUUCACGUUCUUUAAAUCUCCUAAGAUGUUCGAUCAUCACAGGAUCAAAAUCAGCAAUCAUCUCGAUAAAGCUUAAGAAGUUCCCACAACCUUCUUCUCCAAUCUUUUCGUUGCUUCCACGAAAUGCUAAAUUUUGUUUAGCAAGAGUUUUCACUACAGAAAUUAUCCUAAGCAACACUUGUCUCCAAUGGAUUUUUUCUUUGUUGAUUUCAUCUUGAGCAUAUUUGUCAAUGGUCUGAUUCUUUUGCAGCCUGAGAUCUAGUUCUGCCCACUGCUUCAUACAUAAUAUAUGUUCACGACCAGAUUCAUGUUCUUUAAGCCUUUUCAAUACAUUUCUCCAAUCAUUGAACCCCACAGAUGCCAAUUGACUACUGUCACUCUUAUUGAACAAUUUGCAGCAGAAACAAAAGAUCUUGUUUAGUUUCUUUGAAUAAAGUAGCCAACGUCGAUCUUGUUUUUUUCCAUCACCCAAUUGUCUUGUAUAAUGCAAAUGAGAAAAAUGUCUCUUAACACCAUCCUUGGGAAAGUUGUAAUCUAUUGGCAAUCUUUUCGCAGGACCUUGUACAACCAUAAAAUCUCUCCACUCAGUCCAUCCUUUUUUUAUGUUGUCCCAAUUUCCAGGAUCAUACAUAUCUAUGUAUCCACAAGGCUUCUCGAGAUUACCACUCUUUUCACUUCCAUUCUUAUCCCCAUCAUCUUUUUCUUUCAACUCUUCCUCAUUCACAACAUUCAUAUUCUCUGGCUCAGGACUCGGUUCUUCUCCAUGAUCCUCACUUAUAUUUUCAUCUACUUUAUCUUCUCUAGACGUAGGAUGUUGUUCUUGUUCAUCAUUAUUCUCUACAAAGGUAUCAAGAGUUUCAGAUUUUUUGAAAUACCUUAAUAAACCAUUCUUUUGAGAUUUUGCUUCCUCAUCUUUUUUGUUCUUCUUUUUUCUGUUGUCUGCUCCACACGGUUGAUGUCUUUUGUUCGAUGACAUCGUUCUAUCAACAUAUAAAAUUUUGAUUGUUAUUAACUGUUUCAGAAAAUAGAUGAAAGUAGAUAACAAUAGGUAGUACUUUUACCUUAGUUUGAAUUGUAAGAGAGAAAGUGAGAUAAAGCUACUUUGUUAAUAAAUCUUAAACUUCAAAAAUCAGAACUGAAGAUUUGUGUGUGAGAAAUUUGUGUGUGAGAAGAAGACGUGAGCAGAGCUGCAGAAGUCAGAAGAGAUAGAAGAUGUCGUGAAGUUGGAUUUUUAACCUAAUUUUUGUAAAAUUACAUGAAUCAAUUUUUUUAAGUAAAUUUAACUUUAAUUAGUAAACUAUUAAUGUAUUAAUGAAUAUAUUUAUGUGUUGUGGCCCAUAUUUAGUCUCCUGAUAAUAUUAUAGUUUAAAACUCAAACCCAUAUAAAAUAUAUAUUAGUACUUAUGAUUGGUAAUAUUUAACUAAACAUAUGCUAUUAAGUGUUUUUAAAAAAAAUGAUGCCCUAAGCCAAUGUUUCUUUUGGUCUCAAGGUCGCACGGCUCUGCUUAAACUCCACAGUAGACUUUUCUUCCCCGUCACUCUAACAUCAAAAGCUGUGUGUGCAUUGCCUUGUAUCUGAUGAAGAGACGAAAGGCUUGUAAGUUGUCUUAUACAUUUACAUGUAUCUCUAAGAAUGUUUACCAAAACCGGAUUAUACCUUAUUUAUGAAAGUCUCUAGUGGUCGCUGAACAAAACUCUCUUUCUUCUCCCUUUGGUUGAACAAUUUUC